GACGAACGCUGGCGGCGUGCUUAACACAUGCAAGUCGAACGGCAAGGCCCUGCUUUUGUGGUGUGCUCGAGUGGCGAACGGGUGAGUAACACGUGAGUAACCUGCCCUUGACUUUGGGAUAACUUCAGGAAACUGGGGCUAAUACCGGAUCGGAGCUCCUGCUGCAUGGUGGGGGUUGGAAAGUUUCGGCGGUUGGGGAUGGACUCGCGGCUUAUCAGCUUGUUGGUUGGGUAGUGGCUUACCAAGGCUUUGACGGGUAGCCGGCAUGAGAGGGUGACCGGCGACAUUGGGACUGAGAUACGGACCAGACUCCAACGGGAGGCAGCAGUGGGGAAUAUUGCACAACGAGAGGAAGCGUGAUGCAGAAGCGUCGCGUGCGGGAUGACGGCUUGCGGGUUGUAAACCGCUUUAGCCUGAGACGAAGCGUGAGUGGCGGUAAUGGGUAAAGAAGCACCGGCUAACUACGUG
RNAcentral lists this ribosomal RNA (468 nucleotides) under uncultured bacterium. RNAcentral describes it as "partial 16S ribosomal RNA". It matches the Rfam family "Bacterial small subunit ribosomal RNA", at positions 28 to 507 of the family's 1533-position model. The record is from RNAcentral.